GCCUGGGUGGCUCAGUGGGUUGAGCAUCUGACUCGUGAUUUGGACUCAGUCUUGAUCGCAGGGUCAUGAGUUCAAGCCCCACCUUGGGCU
This 90-nucleotide transfer RNA is filed under the name Canis lupus familiaris (dog). It matches the Rfam family "tRNA". From Rfam's summary of the family: Transfer RNA (tRNA) molecules are approximately 80 nucleotides in length. Their secondary structure includes four short double-helical elements and three loops (D, anti-codon, and T loops). Lineage: Eukaryota; Metazoa; Chordata; Mammalia; Carnivora; Canidae. The record is from Rfam by way of RNAcentral. RNAcentral also lists the same sequence under 1 other name.